AAUAGGAAAUUUAAGGGCGUACGGUGGAUGCCUUGACUCCAAGAAGGUGAUGAAGGACGUGGCUUGGCGGCGAUACGCUUCGGGGAGGUGCCUAGCAACCUUUGAUCCGAAGAUGUCCGAAUGGGGAAACCCGUCCAGCUCCACAUUUGGUUUGUAGAAACUUUUAUUAAUCAAAUGUGGGGCUGGACAUCCUAUCAAUUAGAUAGGAAACGCACCCAGUGAAGUAAAACAUUUCAGUAACUGGAGGAAAAUAGAACAAUUGUUAUUUCGUUAGUAGCGGCGAGCGAAAACGAAACAGCCCAAACCUAGUUUCAUUCUCACGACGCGUAUGGUCGUGUUGUGGGAAUGAUGCUGGGGGUUGUAAGGUGGUAGCGUCCCUCCCCAGUUUGCAAAAACUGGAGAGGGAGAGGAGUGAAAAAAUUUCUGGUUAGGUGAAUCCCGUGGAAACGGGAACCCUAGGGGGUAAUAGUCCCGUAACCGAAAAUCAGAAGUCUCUUUUGUUACCGUUCUUGAGUACCUCGAGACAUGAAUAGCUCGGGGGAAUCUGCCGGAACUAACCGGUAAGGCUAAAUACUCUUGGAGAUCGAUAGUGAACUAGUACCGUGAGGGAAAGGUGAAAAG
This 621-nucleotide ribosomal RNA is filed under the name bacterium. Its description in RNAcentral is "partial 23S ribosomal RNA". It matches the Rfam family "Bacterial large subunit ribosomal RNA", at positions 1 to 521 of the family's 2925-position model. The record is from RNAcentral.